CCUACGGGAGGCAGCAGUGGGGAAUUUUGGACAAUGGGGGAAACCCUGAUCCAGCAAUGCCGCGUGUGUGAAGAAGGCCUUCGGGUUGUAAAGCACUUUUAUUCGGAGAGAAAUCCCUUGGGCUAAUACCCUGAGGGUCUGACGGUACCGGAUGAAUAAGCGCCGGCUAACUACGUGCCAGCAGCCGCGGUAAUACGUAGGGCGCGAGCGUUAAUCGGAAUUACUGGGCGUAAAGCGUGCGCAGGCGGUUUUGUAAGACAGAUGUGAAAGCCCCGGGCUCAACCUGGGAAUUGCAUUUGUGACUGCAAGGCUAGAGUGUGUCAGAGGGAGGUGGAAUUCCGCGUGUAGCAGUGAAAUGCGUAGAGAUGCGGAGGAACACCGAUGGCGAAGGCAGCCUCCUGGGAUAACACUGACGCUCAUGCACGAAAGCGUGGGGAGCAAACAGGAUUAGAUACCCUGGUAGUCCACGCCCUAAACGAUGUCAACUAGUUGUCGGGAAUUAAAUUUCUUGGUAACGCAGCUACGCGUGAGUGACCGCCGUGGGAGGUACGGCCGCGAAGGUUAAACGUUACGAAGUAAGUUAGAGGCGNGNGAGNGCGACGGCGACGACGAGGGAGGAGG
RNAcentral lists this ribosomal RNA (621 nucleotides) under uncultured bacterium. RNAcentral's name for it is "bacterial SSU rRNA". The stretch from base 1 to 539 matches the Rfam family "Bacterial small subunit ribosomal RNA", at positions 338 to 873 of the family's 1533-position model. The record is from RNAcentral.